Mus musculus (house mouse) is the source of this 1321-nucleotide long non-coding RNA. RefSeq annotates it as predicted gene, 33482. NCBI's taxonomy places the organism in Eukaryota, Metazoa, Chordata, Mammalia, Rodentia, Muridae. The transcript has 2 exons. The record is from RefSeq and is a predicted model, not a curated record.
GGUCAUGGUGUCUCUUCAAAGCAAAAGAACAGUGACUAAGACAGAAACUGGUACUGAGAUAGUAGGGGGCGUCUCUGUGUCAGACCUGACCAUGCUGUUUUAGGGAGGAUUACGGAAGGGCUUUGGAGCUUUUGGCCUAGGAAAGCUGUUGAGUGUGAAGAGCUCCUUGGCCGGUCCAUAGGAGCUUAGAAGAUAAGAGUGUUGCACAUAAUGCAGAUAAGAAAGGUCUGGCUUGUGCCUUCCAGAUGUAAGCAAAGGCUUAUGUGAAUAAUCUGUGGUGUCUGGUCAGCUGGGGCUGAAGAAUCAGCUGGGAUUAAGAAGAGGCUAGCAUCCUUGAGGUAAAGUCUUCGGGAAGUAUUUCCUCAGAGUCAGCACAUGUAUACCGUACUCCUUAUUCUGCUAUAUAUACUUCUGUUAUUGUUCUUCCUUCCCCUUCCAGUCUAAAGGUAACGGCUAACAUGCAUUUGGUAUUUAGCAUUCCUAUAAAUGCCUUUACAAAUCUAUUGUAUAUAAAAGCGUGUAUACGUGAAUAGUGUAUAUGCACAUAUAGAUACACAAUGUCGGUUUCAAACUUCACUAAGUACUCUUGUACUUUGUGCGUUAUUUCACAUCCUCUUUAUUUUUCUUCCUAUAACGCUUUUUAUAUCCAUUCUUGUUGUUAUGCUUAGCUCUAGGCCAGUGCUUCUCAACCUUGACUGGAAAUUGUAAUUGGAGAGCUUAAAAAACCUACUGAUAUGCAGAUUCGCCAUCCAUCCCAAGGGCACACAGCUAGAUGGUUCAACUGGAAGAUCACAAGUUGAGCAAGUUCAACUUUAUCAUAUUACCAGGUAAUCUAUACCUCCACCAUUUCUCUGCUUUUUGUUAACAGUUCUAUGAAUACACAUCUUUUACUCUUAAAUUUCCCUGAUUUUAAGUGAGGCUGAACAUUUGCCUUCACUCUGCCACCCUGUGGUCCUCAAUCCAGAAAGUGCUACUUGAUGGCAGCACAGGUCUGCCCAGCCAUGACAUGUAGAUACCUGGGCUAAGCUGGUCUCCUCAUUCCUGGACACCAGGCCAUUUUCCUCCCAUCUUAUUUCAAAAUAAUGCUUUACCCCUACCAAUGGAUACUAUUUCUGUCCUAUUUUCAUUCUACAAGAUAAGCAUUGUGGUUUGGAGUCCAGAGAAGCAAUUUCAUUUAUCGGUUUUUAUACUUGAUCAUCACAUGACAUGAAAACUUACAUGCCGUCUUGAAUGUUAUGUGUUUUAUUUCUGACGGGAAAGGUUAUAAGACCUAAAUAUCAUUUGAGAUGACAUUCUUUUUCUCAAAUCAUGUUUUUUUUUU